This 937-nucleotide small RNA is filed under the name Acholeplasma oculi. RNAcentral describes it as "bacterial LSU rRNA". The stretch from base 488 to 937 matches the Rfam family "Bacterial large subunit ribosomal RNA", at positions 1 to 497 of the family's 2925-position model. The record is from RNAcentral. Lineage: Bacteria; Bacillati; Mycoplasmatota; Mollicutes; Acholeplasmatales; Acholeplasmataceae.
CGCCCGUCAAACCACGAAAGUGAGCAACACCCAAAGCCGGUGGCCUAACCCGUAAGGGAGGGAGCCGUCUAAGGUAGGGUUCAUGAUUGGGGUUAAGUCGUAACAAGGUAUCCCUACGGGAACGUGGGGAUGGAUCACCUCCUUUCUAAGGAGAAAGGCUAACUAACACUUAGCAAAAAAGGCUACGUAGUCGUAGCAAACAAUUCUCUAAUUUGUUCAUCAUAUUCAGUUUUGAGAGACUUUAUGUCAAUCAACAAAAGUGGGGCCUGUAGCUCAGUUGGUUAGAGCACACGCUUGAUAAGCGUGGGGUCGAUGGUUCAAGUCCAUUCAGGCCCACCAUAUAAUGGGGCUUUAGCUCAGCUGGGAGAGCGCCUGCCUUGCACGCAGGAGGUCAGCGGUUCGAUCCCGCUAAGCUCCACCAAAUCUUUUAGGGAAACCUAAUUGAGAUCUUUGAAAAGUAGAUAAAUGGUGUCUGAAAAGAAAUAAAGGUUAAGGAAGAAAGGGCACGCAGUGAAUGCCUUGGCACCAAGAGACGAUGAAGGACGGAACUAACACCGAAAUGCCCGGAGAAGCUGUAAGUAAGCGACGAUCCCGGGAUGUCCGAAUGGGGGAACCCACCAUGUGGAAGACAUGGUACUCGAGCAAUCGAGAGUGAAACGCAGGGAACUGAAAUAUCUCACGUACCUGCAGGAAAAGAAAGUAAAAACGAUUCUGUAAGUAGCGACGAGCGAAAGCGGAGGAGCCAGAUACCUAAGGUUACAAAAUUCUAGGAUAGAUGAAUGCUGUGGGAAAAGCAGGCAAAGAGGGUGAGACCCCCGUAGUUGAAAUUCUAGGAUCCAUGGUAUCAGAAAGUAGGGCGGGACACGUGGAAUCCCGUUUGAAGAUAGGAGGACCAUCUCCUAAGGCUAAAUACUACUUGGUGACCGAUAGUGAACCA